UACGUAGGGGGCAAGCGUUGUCCGGAUUUAUUGGGCGUAAAGAGCGUGUAGGCGGCCAUACAGGUCCGUUGUGAAACUGGAGGCUUAACCUCCAGACGUCGAUGGAAACCGUAUGGCUAGAGUCCGGAAGAGGAGAGUGGAAUUCCUGGUGUAGCGGUGGAAAUGCGUAGAGAUCAGGAAGAACACCGGUGGCGAAGGCGGGUCGCUGGGCCGAUAUUGACGCUGAGGAGCGAAAGCGUGGGGAGCAAACAGG
Molecule: ribosomal RNA, 253 nt
Filed under: uncultured bacterium
Lineage: Bacteria
Description: partial 16S ribosomal RNA
Rfam family: Bacterial small subunit ribosomal RNA
Source: RNAcentral